RNAcentral lists this ribosomal RNA (582 nucleotides) under uncultured bacterium. RNAcentral describes it as "bacterial SSU rRNA". It matches the Rfam family "Bacterial small subunit ribosomal RNA", at positions 912 to 1499 of the family's 1533-position model. The record is from RNAcentral.
GACGGGGACCCGCACAAGCAGUGGAGUAUGUGGUUUAAUUCGACGCAACGCGAAGAACCUUACCGGAGCUUGACAUCCCGCGAAUCUGAAUGUAAUGUUUGGAGUGCCCUUCGGGGAGCGCGGAGACAGGUGGUGCAUGGUUGUCGUCAGCUCGUGUCGUGAGAUGUUGGGUUAAGUCCCGCAACGAGCGCAACCCUUACGGUCAGUUGCUACGCAAGAGCACUCAGGCCGGACUGCCGUUGACAAAACGGAGGAAGGUGGGGACGACGUCAAAUCAUCAUGCCCCUUACGUUCCGGGCUACACACGUACUACAAUGGCGUAAACAAAGGGAAGCAAAUCCGCGAGGAGGAGCAAAUCCCCAAAAGACGUCCCAGUUCAGACUGCAGGCUGCAACCCGCCUGCACGAAGUUGGAAUUGCUAGUAAUCGCAGAUCAGCAUGCUGCGGUGAAUACGUUCCCGGGUCUUGUACACACCGCCCGUCAAACCAUGAAAGUUGAGAACACCCGAAGUCCAUGUUCUGACCGCAAGGGGGAAGUGGCCGAAGGUGGGCUCAAUGAUUGGGGUAAGANGUAACAAGGUGG